RNAcentral lists this long non-coding RNA (4153 nucleotides) under Bos indicus x Bos taurus (hybrid cattle). RNAcentral describes it as "lncRNA (ENSBIXG00000003222.1)". The record is from RNAcentral. Lineage: Eukaryota; Metazoa; Chordata; Mammalia; Artiodactyla; Bovidae.
CCCCUCCCGGGCCCCCCGGCCCGGCGCGCGCCUGCGCCGGCCGCUCCCCGGCCCCCGAGCCGCCCGCGAGGCCGCCGCGGCCGGCAGCCUCGCCCCCCGACCCCGGCCGCCCGGGGCCAGGCCGGCUCCGCGCGCGCGCCCGCCGCCGCCCUCCCCUCGCGCCCCAGGAGCGGCCGGGGCCACCGCUCCACAGCCCGCGGCCAGCAGUGCUCUGGCCCCCCAGCCCCCGGCUGGCUCCCUGGCCCGGGCCUCUUGCGGGCUCCGUUUCCGUCGGCCGCGCGCCUCCCCACCUGCGCCCCGCUCUGUGCUGGCAGGGUCAGCCGGGCGGGCGGAGGGUCCUUAAUUCUCCAAGCCCGGUUCAUUGCCUCCGGUUGAACGUGAAUGCUCUUGUUGCCGAGGACAUCUUUGCAUUUCCCGCAAUCCGGUCAUUGUAUGGCUUCAGUGGUUAACGCUUAAGGCAUCGGAGUUGGUCUCUGGGCAGCUCCCCUGGAGAUAGAUGACUUGGGAAAAAGAAAUCAGUGACCACAUAGUUUCGGCCUGCUUAACAAAACCGAGGAAGAAUCCCCGUGAUCAGUCAAACGCAAGAGAAUCUGGGUUUACUGAUGCCCUUGGUAAUUCUCCGGCAAGCACGCGAGGACCCGAGGGAAAUGACCAUAAAUUCGUCCUCCUGUAUCGAUUAUGAGGGAAAUGUCUUUUUUUUUUUUUUUAAGGCAUCUCCAGACAUUGACAAUGUUUCGUAAAUUUGCAAGAGAUGCAAGAAACUACAGAUAAUGUUUUGCUAUCACCCCGGAGCUGCAUCUUGAGAUGAAAUCAGAGCCUGGGGGCUUGGUAGAUACAGCAGACAUCAGUACCUAUGGAUAGCUUAUCAAAUAAAGACAUCGGUGAAGGGUGUAGGCUGUGAGGAGAAGUGGGGUAUUGGCCUGGAUUUGCCUGUAAAUGCAUCGCGAAGAGGCAGCCCAGAAUGAAGAAAGCAAGCAGGAGUGUCGGCUCAGCGCCUAAGGUGUCGGGGACAAGCAGAGUGCAGGCAGCGGACAAAGCCAGGCCCGAGAGCAGCUCCUCAGCCUCUGCGGGCAGCAGGCCCGUGAAGCCUGGGGCCGCAGCAGCGUUGUCGAAGACCAAGAGCAGUGAUGACCUUUUAGCUGGGAUGGCUGGAGGGGUGACCGUGACCAAUGGUGUCAAAGGCAAGAAGAACGCCUGCUCCUCGGCCACACCGGCCGCGCCCGCGCCUGCCGUGAGCGCCACGGAGAACAGGCCCAGGACCGGCACAGGCACGAGUUCUUCAACCAAGCGGAGCACUUGCACAGGUAAUAAAGAGCCCAGUUCUACUAGAGAAAGAUUGCGUGAGCGCACCCGACUAAACCAGAGCAAAAAACUACCUUCUGCAGGUCAGGGGGCUAAUGACGUGGCGUCGGCCAAACGCUCCCGCAGUCGCACGGCUGCGGAAUGCGACGUCCGCAUGAGCAAGUCCAAGUCGGACAAUCAGAUCAGUGACAAAGCUGCUCUGGAGGCCAGAGUGAAGGAUCUUCUCACCUUGGCCAAAACCAAGGACGUGGAGAUUUUACAUCUGCGGAGCGAGCUCCGGGACAUGCGUGCUCAGCUGGGUAUCAGCGAGGACCCCCUCACCGAGGGCGCCGAGACGUCCGAGGAGAAGGAAGCCAGCACCGUGCACCAGCCAACCGACGUGGAGUCCACCUUGCUGCAGCUGCAGGAGCAGAACGCCGCCAUCCGCGAAGAGCUCAACCAGCUGAAGAACGAGAACCGGAUGCUGAAGGACCGGCUGAACGCGCUGGGCUUCUCCCUGGAGCAGAGGCUGGACCAUUCCGAAAAGCUGUUUGGCUAUCAGUCCCUGAGCCCAGAGAUCACCCCUGGUAACCAGAGCGACGGCGGCGGGACGCUGACCUCCUCGGUGGAGGGCUCGGCCCCUGGCUCAGUGGAGGAUCUGCUGAGCCAGGAUGAAAACACGCUCAUGGACCAUCAGCACAGCAACUCCCUGGACAACCUGGACAGUGAGUGCAGUGAGGUGUACCAGCCCCUCACGUCCAGCGACGACGCCCUGGACGCGCCCUCGUCCUCGGAGUCAGAAGGCCUUCCGAGCGUAGAGCGCUCUCGCAAGGGCAGCAGCGGGAAUGCCAGCGAAGUGUCUGUCGCGUGCCUGACGGAGCGGAUACACCAGAUGGAGGAGAACCAGCACAGCACGAGCGAGGAGCUGCAGGCCACUCUGCAGGAGCUGGCUGACCUGCAGCAGAUCACCCAGGAGCUGAACAGCGAGAAUGAGCGGCUCGGCGAGGAGAAGGUGAUUCUCAUGGAGUCCCUGUGUCAGCAGAGCGACAAGCUGGAGCACUUCAGCCGGCAGAUUGAGUAUUUCCGCUCCCUCCUGGACGAGCAUCACAUUUCCUAUGUCAUCGACGAAGACGUGAAAAGCGGGCGCUACAUGGAGCUGGAGCAGCGCUACAUGGACCUCGCUGAGAACAGCCGCUUUGAACGGGAGCAGCUCCUUGGCGUCCAGCAGCACCUAAGCAACACCCUGAAGAUGGCCGAGCAGGACAACAAGGAGGCCCAGGAGCUGAUCGGCGCGCUCAAGGAGCGCAGCCACCACAUGGAGCGGGCCGUCGAGUCCGAGCAGAAGGGCAAGGCGGCCUUGGCCGCCACCCUGGAGGAGCUCAGAGCCACCCUGGCCAGUGACCAGAUCGAGAUGAAUCGCCUGAAGGCCCAGCUGGAGAACGAGAAGCAGAAAGUGGCGGAGCUGUACUCUAUCCAUAACUCUGGAGACAAGUCUGACAUUCAGGACCUCCUGGAGAGCGUCAGGCUGGACAAGGAGAAAGCAGAGACUCUGGCCAGUAGCCUGCAGGAAGACCUGGCCCACACCCGGAAUGAUGCCAACCGGCUGCAGGACGCCAUCGCAAAGGUGGAAGACGAGUACCGAGCCUUCCAAGGGGAAGCUAAGAAGCAGAUAGAGGACCUGAACGUGGCCGUAGAGAAGCUACGCUCAGAGCUGGAAGAAAGAGACACAGAGAGGAGUGACAUGAAGGAAACGAUCUUUGAGCUUGAGGAUGAAGUGGAGCAGCACCGGGCAGUGAAGCUGCACGACAACCUCAUCAUCUCGGACUUGGAGAAUACGGUUAAAAAACUCCAGGACCAAAAACAUGACAUGGAAAGAGAAAUCAAGACCCUGCACAGGCGACUGCGGGAGGAAUCAGCAGAAUGGCGGCAGUUCCAGGCUGAUCUGCAGACCGCGGUGGUCAUCGCUAAUGACAUCAAGUCUGAAGCCCAAGAGGAGAUUGGUGACCUGAAGCGCCGCUUACAUGAAGCUCAAGAGAAAAACGAGAAGCUCACGAAAGAAUUGGAGGAAAUAAAGUCACGCAAGCAGGAGGAGGAGCGUGGCCGGGUGUAUAACUACAUGAAUGCUGUGGAGAGAGACCUGGCGGCCCUGAGGCAGGGCAUGGGGCUGAGCAGAAGGUCCUCCACGUCCUCGGAGCCGACGCCCACCGUGAAGACCCUCAUCAAGUCCUUCGACAGCGCAUCUCAAGUGCCCAGCCCUGCCGCGGCAGCGAUGCCCCGGACGCCUCUGAGCCCAAGCCCUAUGAAGACGCCCCCUGCGGCCGCCGUCUCCCCCAUGCAGAGACAUUCCAUCAGUGGACCCAUCUCCACGUCCAAACCCCUGACAGCCCUCUCAGAUAAGAGACCAAACUACGGGGAGAUCCCUGUGCAAGAGCAUCUGCUGAGAACGUCUUCGACCAGCCGACCUGCUUCUCUGCCGAGAGUGCCUGCCAUGGAGAGCGCAAAGACCCUCUCAGGUACUGCCCUUCAUCUGAGCCGGCCUUUAGAGGUGCGUCUGGAAGGUCCGCUGAUGGAGCUGAGUUCCUUCUCUUUAGGAACACGAGUUGAAAUGUUUCUUCUCUCCACUUCCCAGGGAAGAAAGGAAGGAUCCCUGUCGGCCUUGGCGAGAGAAUAUGGGGGUUCCAAGAGGAACGCCUUGCUGAAGUGGUGUCAGAAGAAAACCGAGGGCUACCAGGUAACUGCGUCCUUCCGUCCAGGGGAGCCGGGCUGCUGGCACAGCCUGCUGAGCAGCACGAGCCCCAGACGUGGGGGGGCGUCCCGGGAGAAACAGUGCCUUCCCGUCCAGAGCAGCGGACCGUCACUCUGCUCCUGUUGA